Molecule: long non-coding RNA, 190 nt
Organism: Anguilla anguilla (European eel)
Lineage: Eukaryota; Metazoa; Chordata; Actinopteri; Anguilliformes; Anguillidae
Exons: 2
Source: RefSeq, a predicted model, not a curated record
GUGGCUUUUCACGUCUUGGUCCUGGAAUAACCUUGAGCGUCUCAUUUUCCUGAAGGAAUUUAAAUCAAGAAUCCAGAAUGCAGGAAGGAACAAAGGCAAAGCUUCACUGUGUUCAAGGACAAAAUAUUUUUUUAAAGACAGCAGUAUAGGCUAUAGUUCAAUGUCCACUCCAUUAAAAUGGAUCUCACAA